GGACAAGCUACCAUUUCCAAAUAGCAUUAUUAUAUCACCAAAAUGUCACUUCACUACUCUUUGCUUUGUAAAUGUUAGGGUUUCAAAUGGGUCUUUGAAAAAGAAGAAGCCAAAGCUCUUGAAUUGCGCUAAUCUGCUCAGUUCUACAAGUGUAUCUUCGAUUCAUCGUUUAAUCAGAGGGAGGAGUGUUAAUAAGGGGUUUAUUGGUGCAAGUUUUGUUAUGUUGAAGAUGGGUGGAAUAGAAGGUACAACUGCAAUGUCUGAUGCGAGAACGGGGAACAUGAUUUUCGAAUCUAUUUUGGAGGAAGGAGUCUUUCGUUUUGAUUGCUCUGCAGAUGAUAGAAAUGCAGCAUUUCCGAGUAUUUCCUUUGUUGAUCCAAAAGUUAGGGAGACACCGUUAAUGUCUAUACAUAAAGUUCCAUCAUAUAUUCCUACUUUUGAAUGUGUCAGGGGACAACAAAUUGUAAAUAUUGAGCUUCCAUCAGGUACCUCAUUCUAUGGAACUGGGGAGGUAAGUGGUCAGCUUGAAAGAACUGGGAAAAGGAUUUUGACAUGGAAUACUGAUGCAUGGGGUUAUGGUCCGGGAACUACGUCCUUGUAUCAAUCACACCCGUGGGUGCUUGCUGUUCUUCCCAGUGGCGAGACACUUGGAGUUCUGGCAGAUACAACACAUCGAUGUGAGGUUGACUUGCGACAAGAAUCCAAUAUAAGAUUUAUCAGUCGACAGUCCUUCCCUGUUAUUACAUUUGGCCCAUUUCCUUCACCAAUUGAUGUUCUUGUAUCCCUCUCUCAUGCUAUCGGAACUGUGUUUAUGCCUCCAAAGUGGUCCUUGGGUUAUCACCAAUGCCGAUGGAGCUAUGUUCCGGAUACUCGUGUUCGUGAGAUUGCAAGGACCUUUCGGGAGAAGAAGAUUCCCUGUGAUGUCAUAUGGAUGGACAU
This 939-nucleotide unclassified non-coding RNA is filed under the name Hevea brasiliensis (rubber tree). Lineage: Eukaryota; Viridiplantae; Streptophyta; Magnoliopsida; Malpighiales; Euphorbiaceae. The record is from RNAcentral.